GUUGGCCCAACUGAUUGAACGUGCUUGCACGGACUUGACGUUGGUUUACCAGCGAGUGGCGGACGGGUGAGUAACACGUAGGUAACCUGCCCCAAAGCGGGGGAUAACAUUUGGAAACAGAUGCUAAUACCGCAUAACAAUUUGAAUCGCAUGAUUCAAAUUUAAAAGAUGGCUUCGGCUAUCACUUUGGGAUGGACCUGCGGCGCAUUAGCUUGUUGGUAGGGUAACGGCCUACCAAGGCUGUGAUGCGUAGCCGAGUUGAGAGACUGAUCGGCCACAAUGGAACUGAGACACGGUCCAUACUCCUACGGGAGGCAGCAGUAGGGAAUCUUCCACAAUGGGCGCAAGCCUGAUGGAGCAACACUGCGUGAGUGAAGAAGGGUUUCGGCUCGUAAAGCUCUGUUGUUAGAGAAGAACGUGCGUGAGAGCAACUGUUCACGCAGUGACGGUAUCUAACCAGAAAGUCACGGCUAACUACGUGCCAGCAGCCGCGGUAAUACGUAGGUGGCAAGCGUUAUCCGGAUUUAUUGGGCGUAAAGCGAGCGCAGGCGGUUUGAUAAGUCUGAUGUGAAAGCCUUUGGCUUAACCAAAGAAGUGCAUCGGAAACUGUCAGACUUGAGUGCAGAAGAGGACAGUGGAACUCCAUGUGUAGCGGUGGAAUGCGUAGAUAUAUGGAAGAACACCAGUGGCGAAGGCGGCUGUCUGGUCUGCAACUGAC
RNAcentral lists this ribosomal RNA (718 nucleotides) under uncultured Bacilli bacterium. Its description in RNAcentral is "bacterial SSU rRNA". It matches the Rfam family "Bacterial small subunit ribosomal RNA", at positions 42 to 744 of the family's 1533-position model. Lineage: Bacteria; Bacillati; Bacillota; Bacilli. The record is from RNAcentral.